This 302-nucleotide ribosomal RNA is filed under the name uncultured Butyrivibrio sp. Its description in RNAcentral is "partial 16S ribosomal RNA". Lineage: Bacteria; Bacillati; Bacillota; Clostridia; Lachnospirales; Lachnospiraceae. The record is from RNAcentral.
CCCUUAGAGGGCCACAACCCUGUAUUGAUCUAUAUGGGCCAACAACAACAGUAGGGGUGAACAAUGAGGUCUGUGGUAGACAAAAGGGAACGCCGAUAAGCGCGGUAGAGGGACGGUAGCUCACAAUCUCUCGCAAAAAUACACNAGUUCGCUCACGUUCCGGAAUUAGUAGAGUGCGUGCGAUACUCGCUUAGUCAAUGAACGUUAGGACAUGCGCUAGUACAGUCGCAGUACUCUAUGACACUGUCUCGGUGACAUACCUUCCCGUUCGUUACGCUCNAACCUUCGCUAGCUGCCUANUU